AUUGAACGCUGGCGGCAGGCUUAACACAUGCAAGUCGAGCGGGGUGAUGGUGCUUGCACUAUCACUUAGCGGCGGACGGGUGAGUAAUGCUUAGGAAUCUGCCUAUUAGUGGGGGACAACAUCUCGAAAGGGAUGCUAAUACCGCAUACGUCCUACGGGAGAAAGCAGGGGAUCACUUGUGACCUUGCGCUAAUAGAUGAGCCUAAGUCGGAUUAGCUAGUUGGUGGGGUAAAGGCCUACCAAGGCGACGAGCUGUAGCGGGUCUGAGGGGAGGAUCCGCCACACUGGGACUGAGACACGGCCCAGGCGCCUACGGGAGGCAGCAGUGGGGAAUAUUGGACAAUGGGGGGAACCCUGAUCCAGCCAUGCCGCGUGUGUGAAGAAGGCCUUAUGGUUGUAAAGCACUUUAAGCGAGGAGGAGGCUCUUUUGGUUAAUACCCAAGAUGAGUGGACGUUACUCGCAGAAUAAGCACCGGCUAACUCUGUGCCAGCCGCCGCAGUAA
Molecule: ribosomal RNA, 503 nt
Filed under: uncultured bacterium
Lineage: Bacteria
Description: partial 16S ribosomal RNA
Rfam family: Bacterial small subunit ribosomal RNA
Source: RNAcentral